RNAcentral lists this transfer RNA (80 nucleotides) under Pseudomonas benzenivorans. RNAcentral's name for it is "tRNA_Thr_TGT". It matches the Rfam family "tRNA". Rfam says of the family: Transfer RNA (tRNA) molecules are approximately 80 nucleotides in length. Lineage: Bacteria; Pseudomonadati; Pseudomonadota; Gammaproteobacteria; Pseudomonadales; Pseudomonadaceae. The record is from RNAcentral.
GCUGAUACGGCCUGUGGAAAACCUACCUUUGUCACUGACUUGUAAUCAGUAGGUCCCGGGUUCGACUCCUGGUGCCGGCA